Podarcis lilfordi (Lilford's wall lizard) is the source of this 74-nucleotide non-coding RNA. NCBI's taxonomy places the organism in Eukaryota, Metazoa, Chordata, Lepidosauria, Squamata, Lacertidae. The record is from the annotation of a GenBank genome assembly.
GCGGCCCCAACCACCUUGGUAGAGCAUGAGACUCUUGAUCUCAAAAGUCGUGGGUUCAAACCUCAUGUUGGGCA